UGGGGAAAUGGACAACGCGUCGGUCUACGGAACCGAAGAUUGCAGGUUCGAAUCCUGC
RNAcentral lists this transfer RNA (58 nucleotides) under Toxocara canis (dog roundworm). It matches the Rfam family "tRNA", at positions 8 to 63 of the family's 71-position model. From Rfam's summary of the family: Transfer RNA (tRNA) molecules are approximately 80 nucleotides in length. The record is from Rfam by way of RNAcentral. Lineage: Eukaryota; Metazoa; Nematoda; Chromadorea; Rhabditida; Toxocaridae.